This 2084-nucleotide long non-coding RNA is filed under the name Nicotiana benthamiana. RNAcentral describes it as "long non-coding RNA (NBEN_LNC015589)". Lineage: Eukaryota; Viridiplantae; Streptophyta; Magnoliopsida; Solanales; Solanaceae. The record is from RNAcentral.
CUACUUCACAUUUGGACUGAAUCAAGCACACCCAAGUGUACCUACUAUAGUCAUCUACAAUGGUGACAAAAUAAUGUUUUCUAUUAUAUGUAGGAAUCUUGUGAGGCCCCCAAACAUCUAAAUGCACUAACUGAAAACAACUAGUAGAUUUACCGGUGCUAAUAUGGAAUUUCAACCUACAUUUCUUAGCUAAAGGACAGACUUCACAAUCUUGUUGAGUUUGAGAAUAAACUUUAUUUCUAAGAGCUGGUAUAUUCUGCAUUGUCUUUGUUGAGGCAUGGCCUAGUCUCAAGUGCCAAAGUUCACUGUUAACCCCUGGUUGCACAAAAAAUCCUGUAGCUGCCAAUGUUAUGUUCUCCUUUAGCAGGUAUAACCCAUUAUGCUCUUUACCAAUCCCCAUCACCCUGCCACUGUAAAGAUCCUGAAAUAUACAAAAAUCAGGGACAAAUACUGUAGCUGCCAAUGUUAUGUUCUCCUUUAGCAGGUAUAACCCAUUAUGCUCUUUACCAAUCCCAUCACCCUGCCACUGUAAAGAUCCUGAAAUAUGCAGAAAUAAGGAAAAAAGGUAACACAACACCACAAAUCUUUGGUGAGUUUAGACACUGACAACAAGUUGAAUUUAAAAUCUGGCACAUACAGCACAUUCUUAACUGUCCUAUUUUCUAAUAUAGUAGUGUUUCCCGUGUGAGUGAUUUUGGAUUUGUUUCCUAUAGGCACUUGUACUCCUUGUACUCCUUGACUAUCAGUACUUCUAAUGUCCCUUAGAACAUCCUUGCAAUAGGUAACAUGAUGAGUAGCUCCUGAAUCUAUUACCCAAUCACACUUAUCAGCACAAAAUAAUAGAGAAAUUAUACCUGUCAUGUUUGUAGAACUCUCCCAUGCAUUAGACUUUGACAACAGGUUCACCAACUGUUUGUACUGCUUCUCUGUGAAGAAUUGCCUUGCAUUUUUGGCAUCAUUUCUUUACCUUCUUUUAUAGCAGCAGCUGUGUUUGCAUUUACAUUAUUGGCAUAUGUUUUCCCUCCAGUUGCUUGACCUUUUCUUUUACUUUUGAAAUCAGGUGGAUAUCCAAUUAUCUUAAAACAAUUCUCCUUUUAAUGUCCUUUAUACCCACAAUAAUCACAUAUUAAACCAGGUUUUCUAGGCCUAAAAUAUUGACCUUUCCCUGCUAACAUUGUGAGUGGAUCUCUGUGGGUAUCUGUGACACCCAAAGUCUUUUGACUCUCCCCUUGACUAACUAUGGCAUAAGCCUAAUUGGCGGUCACAACUAGUCUUUUUGCCAACACAUUACUGUGUAUGUUACUAUAACUUUCAUUUAGCCCCAUAAGAAAUUGUAAAUAGCCUUAUGUUCCUCAGAUAAUCAACAGAAGGUCGAGACUCUUCACAGUCACAAGAGGAAGUAAGAGCUAGCACAUCAAGUUCAUCCCAUAAAUCUUUCAUUUUUGUGUAAUAACUAGUGACAGAAUCCAUAUCUUGUCGGAGAGUCGCAAUUGCACUCCACAAAUGAUAGAUCCUAGUGAGAUUAGACCUAUCAAAUCUCUCCUGAAAAUCACUCCAGACUUCCUUUGCAUUUGACGUGUACAAAUACUCGGCAUUAAUUCACCCGUACAGUGCUUCCAGUCCAUGAUAACACAAUAGCAUUGCAUUUUUCCCAUUGCUUUGCUAAUUCUCCUUUGUAGCUGCUUUUCACACAGGUACCGUUCACGAAACUAAGCUUACUCUUUUCUCGUAGUGCUAAUUCAUCGCUCUGCUCCAAAGGGCAUAGUUUUCUGGCCCUGUGAGCUUGAGCGGUAUCAAUACGAGUCUAGGAGCGUCUCCAGAUUUUAAAAAUAGCGGAUGACUGUGAUCAAGUGAAGCAACUUCAUUUCGGCCAUGGAUGCUCAAAGGAGCUUAGAUCUGAACCAAAUUUUACUGAUUUCCGAUGAGGUCUAGAACUGAGCUGUAGAUCCUAAGAUCACUGCUCUGAUACCAUGAAGAAUUUCAUCCUAGCAAUUGACGAUAAUCUCAUGCAACUGAGAGAGAGUAGCUAGAGGGAGAAGCAGUCGAUGAGGAAGAGAAGAGAAAGAGAGAAAAUGGUACCGUUG